RNAcentral lists this unclassified non-coding RNA (4816 nucleotides) under Leishmania donovani. RNAcentral's name for it is "gene:LdHU3.13.1220(CDS-product:leucyl-tRNA_synthe tase_putative)". The record is from RNAcentral. Lineage: Eukaryota; Euglenozoa; Kinetoplastea; Trypanosomatida; Trypanosomatidae.
UGCACGUGUUGUCUCCGUGCCUGCAUAUCUCCCAGCCAGCCGAUCUACCCACCCAACCACCCCUCCCCUUCCCCACCUCGCACCUCACCGUUUGCAGCAGGGCCUUCUCGUUCUCUCGCCGUCUCUCGCUCACACACACACAAACACGCACACGUGCGCACAUCGUUGCCAGCGCUGAAGGCGCAGCUGGAGAAGAACGCAGCCAUGUCCACGGCACGUCGCGAUGCGCUCGUGGCGAUUGAGCAGGAGAAGCAAGCCUACUGGGCCGCGGAGAAGUUGCAUGAGUUCGACGCCCCAGCGCCUGGGGAGGCGCGACCGGCGAAGUAUCUGACCACGUUCCCCUUCCCGUACAUGAACGGCAAGCUUCACCUCGGUCAUGGCUUCUCGCUCACGAAGGCCGAGUUCGCCUCGCGCUUCCAGCGCAUGAUGGGCCGCCGUUCGCUCUGGCCCUUCGGCUUCCACGUCACCGGCACCCCGAUCGCUGCGUGCGCGCAGAAAAUCGCCAAGGAGAUGCAGCAGUACGGCAACCCGCCGCAGUUCCCGGCGGAGCUGCUCGAGGACAAGCCCAAGGCGAUGGUGGUCAAGGAGCCGACGGAGGCGCUAGGGCAGCACAAGAGCAAGCGAGGCAAGAGCGGGCCGGCGAAACCGCAGUGGCUCAUCAUGCAGAGCAUGGGCAUCCCCGACUCGGAGAUCGCGAAGUUCGCCGACCCGCAGUACUGGCUGGACUACUUCCCGCCCAUCGCGAUGGAGGACUUGAAGAGUUUUGGCUGCCACAUCGACUGGCGCCGCUCCUUCAUGACGACGGAGCGUAGCCCAUACUUUGACCGCUUCGUGCGGUGGCAGUUCAACAUCCUGCGCCGCGAGAACCUGCUGAACUACGGCAAGCGUUACUGUGUGUACUCGCCGCGCGACGGCCAGCCGUGCGCCGAUCACGAUCGCGCCAGCGGUGAGGGUGUGCUGCCGCAGGAGUACGCAUUGGUGAAGCUCAUCGUCCAGAACCCACUCGCGCAGCCGUGCUUCGCCGAGCACAAGGACAUUAUCGGCGACCGCAACGUCGUGCUGCCCGGCGCCACACUCCGUCCUGAGACGGUCAUCGGUCAGACGAACUGCUGGGUCAGCAACAAGCUCAACUACAAGGGGUACUACGUGCGCAACGCGAAGGGAGAAGACGAAGUCUACAUCAUGACGGCCCGCGCCGCGCGCAAUAUAGCGUACCAGAACUUCUACGUAAACGGCCAGGUCGGCACCGAUCCGGAGCCGCUCUUCGAGGUGGAGGGAGCAAGCAUGGUCGGCAUACCGCUUUCGGCCCCGCUGGCGCCUUACACGACAAUCUACACGCUGCCUAUGGCCACCAUCACGGAGGCGAAGGGUACCGGCGUCGUCAUGUCUGUGCCGUCCGACUCGCCGGACGACUACAUCAACUUUACCCAGCUGCUGAACAAGCCGGAAUACCGCGUGAAGCUCGGCAUCAAAGACGAGUGGGUGGUGCCGUUCGCGAUGAUUCCGAUCAUAGACAUUCCCGAGCUGGGCACCGAGGGCGCCAAGUUCAUGUGCGAGAAGCUCAAGAUCAACGGCCCGAACGCGACGGAGCUGCUAGAGGAGGCGAAGAAAGUGUGCUACCAGCAGGGCUUCUACCACGGCACCAUGAUCAGUGGCCCCUACGCCGGCGUCAAGGUGAGCGAGGCCAAGGUGAAGACGCAUCGUGACAUGGAGGCGGCGGACCAGUGCAUCCGCUACUACGAGCCGGUGCGCCAGGUGAUCAGCCGCAGCGGUGACGAGUGCGUCGUCGCGCUGUGCGACCAGUGGUACCUCGAGUAUGGCAAGGACGAUUGGAAGAAGCUGGUGCAGGACCACAUCAAGAAGAUGGACAUGUUCUUCCCCGGUGUGCGCAACGGCUUCGAGGAGACGCUGAACUGGCUGGCGGACUGGCCGUGCAGCCGCACCUUCGGUCUCGGCACCUACCUGCCGUGCGACGCGUCUCACACGAUGAUCAUUGACAGCCUGUCGGACUCCACCAUCUACAUGGCCUACUACACGAUCGACCGCUUCUUCAACGUCGGCGCCGACGGUUCGACCGACCUGUGCGGCAAGGCGGACAACCCGUACGGUCUGGCGCCAGAGAUGUUCACGGACGAGGUGUUCGAGUACAUCUACCACGGCGUCGGCGACGCGGCCACCGUCGCGGGUGCGGUGAGGAUGCCGGUCGAGUCGCUGAAGCUGAUGCGCAACGAGUUCGAGUACUGGUACCCUGUCGACCUGCGCUGCUCGGGCAAGGACCUCAUCCAGAACCACCUGACGAUGUUCCUCUACAACCACGCCGCCAUCUGGCCGACGGACGAGAGCAAGUGGCCGCGGGCAAUCUUCUGCAACGGCCACAUCCAGGUCGAUAACGAAAAGAUGGCCAAAUCGAGGGGGAACUUUAUCUCCUUGCGUGAGGCGAUGGACAUGUACGGCGCUGACGCCACGCGUCUUACCUGCGCCGAUGCCGGUGACAGCAUGGACGACGCCAACUUCGUGCGCGAGACGGCGGCUGGGUUUGUGCUGAAGAUGACGACGCUGCUGGAGCAGGCGAAGGAGACGGUUGAGCGCACCGACCUGCGCAGCGGCGGCUACAACGAGUUCGACAAGAUCUUCAAUAACACAAUGAACACGAUCAUCACCCGCACCGAGGGCUUCUACCACCGCAUGCAGUUCCGCAUGGUGCUCAACACAGCCUUCCACGAGCUGUCCAACGAGUACAGUCAGUAUAAGAUGUACUGCGACGACCUCAACGUACACGCGCAGCUCGGCCGCCGCUACUACGAGGUGGUGGCGCUGAUGAUGAUGCCACUGGCGCCACACACGAUGGAGCAUCUGUGGCAGAACAUCCUCCAGCACGAGGGCUCUGUCGUCACGCAGCCGUUCCCGAAGCCGACGGCGAAGCUGGACUACUCGCUGAUCGUCGCAAGCCGGGUCAUGACGAUCGCUCUCAAGGAGAUUCGGUCGCAGGUGAUCAAGAACGCGAAGAAGCGCGGUCCGGUCGAGGAGGUCAUCGUAUACACGCGUCGCGAGUACACGGACUGGCAGCGGCAGGCACUCGAGAUACUGCACGAGCUCUACGAGGCGAACGGCAACACAUUCCCGGAGGAUAUGGCGAAGCAAGUUGUCGCCCGCGACACCAAGAUCAUGAGCAAGGCCCUGAUGGCCUUCAUGUCCUUCGUCAAAGGCAACGUAGAGAAGUACGGGGAGCAGGCCAUGUCGACGCAGCCCGUCAUCGACGAUGCCGUGAUGUUGUCGAACGUCACGCACAACCUCAGCCGCCUCGCCGGCGUAUCGGUGGUGCGCAUCCUAUCCGCCGAAGACGAGACUUACAAGGAGCACGACGCGGCACGCCGCAAGUGCCUGCCUGGUGAGCCGUCCGUCGCCUUGCCGCCAGUAGUGAAGCGCGAGUAGAACGAAACCACGUUGGGGUGUCUACCCUCUUCCAAGCGCAACGCCAAGCAAACAAGGCGCGAGCGGAAGAGAGGCGGGACGAGGAGGGAGGGCACAUGUGUGCAGAGCCAAGGUCUUAUGCGCGUGUCUUGUGCGCGUUUUCUCUCUGAACAGAAACGGAUGAAGUCCUCUCUCUCUCUCUUGGCUUUGUGACGUCGGCAUUGCGCACGCGUCCACGCCGCGUUGUUCGUUUUUUUUUUUCGUGUCUCUGUUGCCUGACGGAUGGGUGGCUCUCCGUCAUCUCUGUGUGUGGCUGUGUGUCUGUGUGUGUGUGUGUGUGUUUCUCUGUCUGUGGUGGUGGUCUCGUCACCCUCUCACGCAGCCAACCAACUAACGCCUCUGUUCUUCCUCCUUUGUGAUAUUCCACCCUAAGGCUUAUGCUCUCCUCUCUUUCCUCUCUCUUGUUAAAAAGCGGUGAGCCUAAUCAUCAGCCGAGCUCUCUUUUGUGUGAACCGUACUCCGUACGCUCACGGCAUCUCUUGUUUUCUUUGGGCUGGACGCCGUGUAAGGCUCCCGUUGCUCUUCCAGUGUGCCUGUUGUGCAUAUUCUUUCAAUCGGGUGAGCGGUGCUCGGCUUUGGUCGCGGCCGAUGAUGCGCUUCGACCGUUAUGGUCGAGUGGGCCCACGUCUUGCCGCCUCGUCAUGGCUCCUCCUCCGCCUCCUCCUCCGUGAGGAGGGCAAGCGCAGAGACGACGAGCACGCAAGGUCACGCGGAUGUGCACAUGCGUUCGCACUCAAGCGGCACAGCGCCCCCACACAAGAAGCAACGAACUGCCUUUCGCUAACUUUCUUUUUACAUGAUCCCUCACCCCGUUCUCCUUGUUUCGCUCAUGGCUGGCUCUCUCUCUGUAUGCUUGUCCCGUUCGUGUCGUCGGCGUGAGUAUUUUAUGUGUGUGUAUGUGGCUACGCGAUAUCCCUUUCUUUCUCCAUAUCGGCAGCCCAUACCCUCCUCCCUUUCGAGCGAACGUGAGUCUGAGCACCCUCUGUCUCGUUGUGUGGUAUGGACUUGAUUGCGUGUGUGUGUGUGUGUGUGUGUGUGCGCGCUUGUGCGGGUGUGGGUGCGUAAAUGUCGAUCUCCGUGUGUAGGUGUGAGCACGUUGGUUGGGUCGUUGUUGUUGUCACCGUCGUCGUGUGAAGCACUUCUUUCUUCUGUGAUGCUCUUCUCUCUCUCAUGUGUACGCACGUGUGCGUGUGUGUGUGUGUGUGUUGUCCCCGCUCUCCCAAGCGUCCUGGGUGGGCGCCGGUGCGCGUCAUGGGCGUGAAGGCAGUUUGCCGUUUCAGGUGGCACCAGAAGAAGGUGAGGGACAGCGGAAGGCUAGCGCGUAACGGUGCUCUUGCAGAGAAGC